GGCUUAACCUUGGGACUGCGUUCAAUACGUUUAGACUUGAGUUCGGAAGAGGGUCGUGGAAUUCCCAGUGUAGAGGUGAAAUUCGUAGAUAUGUGGAAGAACACCGGUGGCGAAAGCGGCGACCUGGUCCGAAACUGACGCUGAGGCGCGAGAGCAAGGGGAUCAAACAGGAUUAGAUACCCUGGUAGUCCUUGCCGUAAACGAUGCAUACUUGAUGUAGAUGGGCUCAACCCUGUCUGUGUCGAAGCUAACGCGAUAAGUAUGCCGCCUGGGGAGUACGCUCGCAAGAGUGAAACUCAAAAGAAUUGACGGGGGCCCGCACAAGCAGUGGAGCAUGUGGUUUAAUUCGAUGCAACGCGAAGAACCUUACC
RNAcentral lists this ribosomal RNA (371 nucleotides) under uncultured bacterium. Its description in RNAcentral is "bacterial SSU rRNA". It matches the Rfam family "Bacterial small subunit ribosomal RNA", at positions 606 to 975 of the family's 1533-position model. The record is from RNAcentral.